Molecule: transfer RNA, 69 nt
Filed under: Urocitellus parryii (Arctic ground squirrel)
Lineage: Eukaryota; Metazoa; Chordata; Mammalia; Rodentia; Sciuridae
Also listed under: 1 other name
Description: Spermophilus parryii (Arctic ground squirrel) tRNA
Rfam family: tRNA
About the family: Transfer RNA (tRNA) molecules are approximately 80 nucleotides in length. Their secondary structure includes four short double-helical elements and three loops (D, anti-codon, and T loops). Further hydrogen bonds mediate the characteristic L-shaped molecular structure. tRNAs have two regions of fundamental functional importance: the anti-codon, which is responsible for specific mRNA codon recognition, and the 3' end, to which the tRNAs corresponding amino acid is attached (by aminoacyl-tRNA synthetases). tRNAs cope with the degeneracy of the genetic code in two manners: having more than one tRNA (with a specific anti-codon) for a particular amino acid; and 'wobble' base-pairing, i.e. permitting non-standard base-pairing at the 3rd anti-codon position.
Source: Rfam by way of RNAcentral
GGGAUUGUGGCUCAGUGGUAGAGUGCUUGCCUAGCAUGCAUGAGGCACUGGGUUCAAUCCUCAGCACCA